This 245-nucleotide ribosomal RNA is filed under the name uncultured Oscillospiraceae bacterium. Its description in RNAcentral is "partial 16S ribosomal RNA". It matches the Rfam family "Bacterial small subunit ribosomal RNA", at positions 524 to 768 of the family's 1533-position model. Lineage: Bacteria; Bacillati; Bacillota; Clostridia; Eubacteriales; Oscillospiraceae. The record is from RNAcentral.
UACGUAGGUGGCAAGCGUUGUCCGGAUUUACUGGGUGUAAAGGGCGUGUAGACGGGAUUGUAAGUCAGAUGUGAAAUUCCCAUGCUCAACGUGGGCGCUGCAUCUGAAACUAUAGUUCUUGAGUGUCGGAGAGGAAAGCGGAAUUCCUAGUGUAGCGGUGAAAUGCGCAGAUAUUAGGAGGAACACCGGUGGCGAAGGCGGCUUUCUGGACGAUAACUGACGUUGAGGCGCGAAAGCGUGGGGAG